UGGCGGCGUGCCUAAUACAUGCAAGUCGAACGCACAGCGAAAGGUGCUUGCACCUUUCAAGUGAGUGGCGAACGGGUGAGUAACACGUGGACAACCUGCCUCAAGGCUGGGGAUAACAUUUGGAAACAGAUGCUAAUACCGAAUAAAACUUAGUGUCGCAUGACACAAAGUUAAAAGGCGCUUCGGCGUCACCUAGAGAUGGAUCCGCGGUGCAUUAGUUAGUUGGUGGGGUAAAGGCCUACCAAGACAAUGAUGCAUAGCCGAGUUGAGAGACUGAUCGGCCACAUUGGGACUGAGACACGGCCCAAACUCCUACGGGAGGCUGCAGUAGGGAAUCUUCCACAAUGGGCGAAAGCCUGAUGGAGCAACGCCGCGUGUGUGAUGAAGGCUUUCGGGUCGUAAAGCACUGUUGUAUGGGAAGAAUCAGCUAGAAUAGGAAAUUGAUUUUUAGUUUGACCGGUACCAUACCAGAAAGCGACCGGCUAAAUACCGUGCCAGCAGCCCGCCGUAAUACGUAUGUCCCGAGCCGUUAUCCCGGAUUUAUUGGGCGUAAAGCGAGCGCAGACGGUUUAUUUAAGUCUGAUGUGAAAGCCCGGGAGCUCAACUCCGGAAUGGCAUUGGAAACUGGUUAACUUGAGUGCAGUAGAGGUAAGUGGAACUCCAUGUGUAGCGGUGGAAUGCGUACAUAUAUGGAAGAACACCAGUGGCGAAGGCGGCUUACUGGACUGCAACUGACGUUGAGGCUCGAAAGUGUGGGUAGCAAACAGGAUUAGAUACCCUGGUAGUCCACACCGUAAACGAUGAACACUAGGUGUUAGGAGGUUUCCGCCUCUUAGUGCCGAAGCUAACGCAUUAAGUGUUCCGCCUGGGGAGUACGACCGCAAGGUUGAAACUCAAAGGAAUUGACGGGGACCCGCACAAGCGGUGGAGCAUGUGGUUUAAUUCGAAGCAACGCGAAGAACCUUACCAGGUCUUGACAUCCUUUGAAGCUUUUAGAGAUAGAAGUGUUCUCUUCGGAGACAAAGUGACAGGUGGUGCAUGGUCGUCGUCAGCUCGUGUCGUGAGAUGUUGGGUUAAGUCCCGCAACGAGCGCAACCCUUAUUGUUAGUUGCCAGCAUUCAGAUGGGCACUCUAGCGAGACUGCCGGUGACAAACCGGAGGAAGGCGGGGACGACGUCAGAUCAUCAUGCCCCUUAUGACCUGGGCUACACACGUGCUACAAUGGCGUAUACAACGAGUUGCCAGCCCGCGAGGGUGAGCUAAUCUCUUAAAGUACGUCUCAGUUCGGAUUGUAGUCUGCAACUCGACUACAUGAAGUCGGAAUCGCUAGUAAUCGCGGAUCAGCACGCCGCGGUGAAUACGUUCCCGGGUCUUGUACACACCGCCCGUCACACCAUGGGAGUUUGUAAUGCCCAAAGCCGGUGGCCUAACCUUUUAGGAAGGAGCCGUCUAAGGCAGGACAGAUG
This 1466-nucleotide ribosomal RNA is filed under the name Leuconostoc mesenteroides. Its description in RNAcentral is "bacterial SSU rRNA". It matches the Rfam family "Bacterial small subunit ribosomal RNA". The record is from RNAcentral. Lineage: Bacteria; Bacillati; Bacillota; Bacilli; Lactobacillales; Lactobacillaceae.